This 484-nucleotide ribosomal RNA is filed under the name uncultured bacterium. RNAcentral's name for it is "partial 16S ribosomal RNA". It matches the Rfam family "Bacterial small subunit ribosomal RNA", at positions 29 to 507 of the family's 1533-position model. The record is from RNAcentral.
AUUGAACGCUGGCGGCAUGCUUUACACAUGCCAGUCGAACGGCAGCGCGGGCUUCGGCCUGGCGGCGAGUGGCGAACGGGUGAGUAAUACAUCGGAACGUGUCCAGUAGUGGGGGAUAGCUCGGCGAAAGCCGGAUUAAUACCGCAUACGACCUGAGGGUGAAAGCGGGGGAUCUUCGGACCUCGCGCUAUUGGAGCGGCCGAUGGCAGAUUAGCUAGUUGGUGGGGUAAAGGCCUACCAAGGCGACGAUCUGUAGCUGGUCUGAGAGGACGACCAGCCACACUGGGACUGAGACACGGCCCAGACUCCUACGGGAGGCAGCAGUGGGGAAUUUUGGACAAUGGGCGAAAGCCUGAUCCAGCAAUGCCGCGUGUGUGAUGAAGGCCUUCGGGUUGUAAAGCACUUUUGGCGGGAACGAAAAGGACUGUGCCAAUACCACGGUUCGAUGACGGUACCCGCAGAAUAAGCACCGGCUAACUACGUG